Molecule: ribosomal RNA, 253 nt
Filed under: uncultured bacterium
Lineage: Bacteria
Description: partial 16S ribosomal RNA
Rfam family: Bacterial small subunit ribosomal RNA
Source: RNAcentral
UACGUAGGGGGCUAGCGUUGUCCGGAUUUAUUGGGCGUAAAGAGCGUGUAGGCGGCCAUGUAGGUCCGGUGUGAAAACUCGAGGCUUAACCUCGAGAUGUCAUCGGAAACCAUUUGGCUAGAGUCCGGAAGAGGAGAGUGGAAUUCCUGGUGUAGCGGUGAAAUGCGCAGAUAUCAGGAAGAACAUCGGUGGCGAAGGCGCUCUGCUGGACCAUAACUGACACUCAGGGACGAAAGCUAGGGGAGCGAAUGGG